Molecule: ribosomal RNA, 484 nt
Filed under: uncultured bacterium
Lineage: Bacteria
Description: partial 16S ribosomal RNA
Rfam family: Bacterial small subunit ribosomal RNA
Source: RNAcentral
AUUGAACGCUGGCGGCAGGCCUAACACAUGCAAGUCGAGCGCAUGAAGGGAGCUUGCUCCUGGAUUCAGCGGCGGACGGGUGAGUAAUGCCUAGGAAUCUGCCUGGUAGUGGGGGAUAACGUCCGGAAACGGGCGCUAAUACCGCAUACGUCCUGAGGGAGAAAGUGGGGGAUCUUCGGACCUCACGCUAUCAGAUGAGCCUAGGUCGGAUUAGCUAGUUGGUGGGGUAAAGGCCUACCAAGGCGACGAUCCGUAACUGGUCUGAGAGGAUGAUCAGUCACACUGGAACUGAGACACGGUCCAGACUCCUACGGGAGGCAGCAGUGGGGAAUAUUGGACAAAGGGCGAAAGCCUGAUCCAGCCAUGCCGCGUGUGUGAAGAAGGUCUUCGGAUUGUAAAGCACUUUAAGUUGGGAGGAAGGGCAGUAAGUUAAUACCUUGCUGUUUUGACGUUACCAACAGAAUAAGCACCGGCUAACUUCGUG